Molecule: long non-coding RNA, 295 nt
Organism: Strigops habroptila (Kakapo)
Lineage: Eukaryota; Metazoa; Chordata; Aves; Psittaciformes; Psittacidae
Exons: 3
Source: RefSeq, a predicted model, not a curated record
AAAACCUUUUUAACAACCUGUCGUCACCUGAGGAACUUUCUGCUCCACUUCAUACAGGGUGCUUGGCUUUCAGUCUCCUUGCAGAAAAAUAACGGCUAUUAGGUGACAAGGUCUAACAGAAAAACACCACCCAGACAUGGGAAACCAGCAUGCCUGAAUCUGAUCCAAGCUGAUAAUGACCAAAGUGACUAUUCAAUGAAAAGGGAGUCUGGGAACUGAAUGGGACAGGAAGGACCUGUCAGCUACAAAGCAGCUCUCUGCAAGACUGAGAAAGCAUUUAAGGAGGAAAACCGGU